GAGCCUGCAACGAUUACGCGACUGUAUGCAAUCCUCGACAAGCAGACCAACGAGGAGA
Molecule: ribosomal RNA, 58 nt
Filed under: uncultured Mamiellales
Lineage: Eukaryota; Viridiplantae; Chlorophyta; Mamiellophyceae; Mamiellales
Description: partial Trypanosomatid mitochondrial large subunit ribosomal RNA
Source: RNAcentral